UCCAACCAUCUUCUUGCUUGCAAUUAGCUUGUACUUACUCACACUCUUUGGCUUUUCUUGUAGGGUUCUUGAUUGCUCCCUCGUGAUUUCAGGUUCGAGUUCAGAAACUUGCACAUAAUUGUAGUUCUCACUAGAAAUUGGAUGCACAAUGGGCGUCAACCAAGGGCACCCGAAUUUUUCGUUGAGAGUUUUCCCUAUCAGCAGGUUCCAGUUUCUUGCUUCGGUUGGGUCUUCCACUCCUAUCACAUUUCGGGUCUUCAAAGGUACGAUCUCCUGAAAUCUGCAAGCGAAACAUCUGAGUUGUGAUAUCCAUGCUACUUUCUCAUAUUAGUCAGAUAAAAAAUCAAGAAAAUAUGAACACCAUGUGUAAUGUUGAGUUCCAAGUUUAUAUAACAUACCCGAGAACAUACAUGUCUGCCGCGUCCUUAAGAUUCAACCACUCAUCCAAAUCUACUGCCAAGCUCCCUUUGGGAGACCUUCCAGCAACAUUCCAAGUUCCCACAAAGAUUCUAAAACAUACGAAAAUGGUUAUCAGACGAAGUACUAUAAGAUCAUACACUUUCUUGUUGCUUUCUUUCUUCCAUAAAUCGAUAAAUUACCUCAACUCACUAGUUGAAGUGCAUGGAUCCAUCUCCAUGGACUGAAAGAGAAUAUCAUCCAAGUAAUCCGUGCUUUCAUCUUCGCCCCCAUCUGGAGAAAAAUUCAGUAAACUUCAGUCCGGAUUGAACUUACUCUGUGGACAGAAGAAGAAUAAGAAUGCGAAUAAGAAAGAAGUCGGUAUCAGAUCCAUAGUUAGAAGAAACAAAACCUGAAACUUGACUCAGUUGAUAGGGUUCAGCUCCCUUAUGCUUUCUCUUGAACCACUUUCUAAACAUUCUUCUCCUCGACUUAGGUUUCUCUCCGUCCAUGCCUUACUCUCCGGUCUUUCGUAUGUCCAUACAUCAACUACAAAAUAGAUAGAGUACCAGAGGAUCGCCGUUGUGAAACUCCGUAAUACUCCUGCGCCUUGCUGAUCAGAUGGAAGGCUGUUCCCCUCCUACCAUGGCGGCCUCUAGCCGCAUUGCUCUGGACACAAAAACAAAACGCGGGUUUAGCUGUAAGAACAUCGUAUAGCCCGCCGUGUUCGGAAGCGAUUCAAAGCAUAGGAACAGACGAGCGCAAGAAGCUGAGAGAAAAUACGGAUCCGGCGGCAAACACAAGAGAGAAAACAUACCGUGCGUGUGAAGGCAGAGAUGGUUAAGAAUUAGGAUAAGUAGGGGAGGGUUAAAAGGACAAUGGCUCUUUCAUUUGGUUUGAUUAUUCGGGUUGGUUAGGUUGGUAGUUGUCACGUUCGUGUCGUGGUAUUUCUACAUGACAAGUAUAUAACAUGUCCAAGUCAAAUAAUUAAAAAGCCAGGUUAUAGGGUUAUCGCAUUGGGUACACCUACGAGGGGUCCAAAGUCCAAUCAACAAGCUAGAAUAUCUUUUUACAUAUCUGCCCCUAUAGGCUUCUUAGACUUCACUAAUGCUGCAUUAACUAACUAAAUGGAGUAUCUUCCAUUAAUUAAUCACAUAUUCAACUAUGUGUGGCUGGUUUGUUAGCUGUUGAUAUGAGUCUCACGACCUAUCAAUAACUUGUUGGACUAUAUGAGUAGGUCUGGAAAACGGGUCGUGUUUGUCGUGUUCGUGUUGUUUUCGUGUUACACUUACUAUCUUAACGGGUCCUAAACAGGUGACCCGAUAACGACCCAAUUCCUUUAUAGAUCGUGUUAUUUCAUGUUAGGUUAACAAGUUAUGCAAGAAAUUAUCAUGUUUAAUGUCUAGAUCUGACAAACGAUGUCUUAUUGGAUUCUUAACCGAUAACAACCUAACUCGUUAAUGAAUUGUGCGAGCAAUUGACAGGCAUAUAUGUGAGUGACUGUCAAUCGUCAAUGAAAGUGAAUUCAUGACUCACCAAUCGUGGAUGAGAGUGAGGCCGACGACUCACCAACCACUGAGCUCUUUUGGUUUAUAUGUGAUAAGUUGUUGUCCCAACUCCUAGUAAAGAUUAAUGGCCAAAAUAAAACUCCAAAAUGUAGAUCGUCUCACCAUCAGUCCAUGUGGGAGCAUGGAUAAUGGGGUCCAAAGUAGUAAUGACGCCAGUGACUUGUACGUUUGGAUUUAUUGUACAAGCACAUGAAGUAUAUGGCAUGCAAAAAUAGGUUAGGUGGUAUGAAUGAGUACGGUGAUCAGUAAAAAUAGGUUAGAUUCAGAGUUCGAAACUUUCAAUAUAACCAUAUAAAAACAAACGAAAGUUACAUUUUUCGUCAUUGGUGCAGGCUGGCCUAGAGUUCAAAUCUUAUGCACUUUGACCUUUUGUGGCCUCAAUGUACCUUGUAGAUUUGAACUGGCGGAUCGGAAUUAAUUUGAUCCACACUUAUCCUUUGGAAGCUGGAUUUUGACGUAUUUUAAUUAAAUUCUUCUUGUUUUCAUGGGUUUGAGACAUUCUAGCGGGAGAAGUGUAUGCGAUUAUAGUCUUUGCAGAUAGCUUUCUACCUCAAACUAUAAUGAGAUGCCUACUCCUCAACCUUCCUUCCUUGGGGACCAUUUGAUUCGUUUUCCAAUCUUUACGCGUAAAAUGACGAUCUUACCCUCCCAUUAUAGCACCCAUCUUCAUAGGAGUUGAAUACCUUUUCAAGUGUUUGGAAGUUUGUUUGGGUGGGAAAAAUAACCUUGUUAAUUCAUUUGUUAUUGUUGCUUGCUACCCAUAUAUCACGGGCUCGGGUUCGUAUCUAUAUUUCUUUUUACGUGAUUUUUUUUCAUGAGAAAAUGUUUUUAUUUGAUCUCUUACAUGAAAAAACAUUUUCAUCGCGUAAGAUAAAACGUAAAUACAAAAUAUACGUUGGAUACAUGCAAGUCUCUCUACAAGUUAUAAUAUAAUAAGAAAAUGAGAAAUUAAGUUCACAUCCUUCUUUUUGUUAUUCCAUUGAUUAAAAUCCUAUUCAUUUUUAAUUUUUUGAUCAAGGUCCUUGGGUAUUAAUAACAUCAUUAAUUAUUUGAUAAAUAAAACAUUUUUAUUUUUAAAAUAUAUUCCUUUAGUGUUAAAAAUGUUACAAUUAGUAUAUUUAUAUUUAUGGCUAAAUUUUUUAUCAUAUAUUUUUAUUUUUAAUUUGUACCUAUUUUUAAUUUGCAAAUAUUUUUCAAUUUGUACCAAUUUUCUUUUCAUUUUUAAUUUGUACCCAUAUAUUAGUUUCUUUUUGUGCCCAUAUUUUUUAAAGUUUUAUUUAUGUUUGUACCCAUGUGUAUACCGCCACGUGACAUUGUAUAUUUAAUCAAUGAUAGAAAAAUUACAUAUGGUAUAUUUAUGUUUUAUGCCUAAACUUUGUAUCAUAUAUUUAUAUUUUUAGUUUGUACCCACUUUUAAUUUGCAACAUUUUUCUAAAUUUGUAGUAUUUUCGUUUUAGUUUUAUUUUGUACCCAUGUAUUAAUUUCUUUUAGAUCCUAUAUUUUUAAAAAAUUCAUUUGUACUCAUAAUUUUUUUAAUCUUUUAUCUGUACCCUAAUUUAUUUAUAAUUUUCCCAUUCUUCUUUAUUAAUGUAGCACUUUGUUAUAUGUGAAAUGUACCAAUUUUUUUGUAAAAUGUACCAAUUUUUUAACACUAUGGAUACAUUCUUUUGCCAUUUAUUAUUUCUUAUUUUUACAUAGUUUUUAUCCAUUUAUUCAAUCAAAAUGUUUGAAUUUUUUUAUUGUAACUGUUUCGAAUAGUAUUAUAAUGAGCGAUUUUAAAUUUAUAAAAUUAUAAAUCUCAUAAAAUAUCAAAUAAUUAAUGUCAAAACUAUAAAAAUAUAAGUAUUAAUAGUAUAUAAUGAGGUGUACAAAGUUAAGGGACCUAGAUCAAACUUUGAAUACUAUUAAGAUUUUAAUCAAAUAAUGUUAAGGAUUAAGUACCGCAUCCAAAGUAUCCCAUAAGAAAAACACACAUAGUUUGAAUAUUUGGGCGUCAAACUGAACUUCAACCCCAAGUUUUGACAAUGUAUAUCAGACCCUAAACCGGUAAACCCCCCAUUUAAUACACAAACUAAAACAGACUACAGGUUUAUAAAUCAGAGUGCUGGUUUAUAAACCCUAAACCCUACAACCUUAAUUCCUUGAAUCGGAAACCAAAUGCUGCCGGAACAUAACGAUGAAGGCUUCCACUCUCUCAUUCAAAUCCUCCUUCGACAGCUUCCUAACCUCCUCCUCCUCCGUAUCGUCUUCAACCCGCUCUUGCUCGCUCUCGCCGCCACAGCUCGCCGAUCUCUUGCACACUUCAUCCUCACAUACCUUAACUCGUUCAACUAUUUGAGGAGCUGAUGGGCAUCGAUAUUCUCUUCUUUUUGCUCCUUCAUUUCUUUUGAAUCCUUCGGCAUUGUUUUCACAUUCGCGAUUUCGAUCAGUAUUCGAUGUCCUGGAAGAAAUGGAGGUGAAAACAACGGCUAGGAGGACGAGGUUGAGUAGAAGGAAAACCCACGCCCGCCAAUGCUCCAUGAGAAACACCAUUAAUAUAAAACGUUUCAAACAUGCCAUCAACACAGCUGCUCCUGCUGUGAACAAAACUGUGUUUACUCUCCCACCCUCUCUCAUCUUCUCCAUAUGAUAUCUGAGUAGAUUUUAUAUUAUAUAUUUUACCAUAUUCUUAGUAUAUUUUGGUUAAUAUUUUGGAAGAAUUUUGAUACUUUGAAUUGUAUUUUCAAUAUAGGACUUUCGACUUCCUCAUGAGCAAAACAGGACCAAAUGGACGAAUUUUGGAGUAAUUCUAGUUGGAGGACGUUCGUGAGUCACUUAGCUUGAUCGUAUCAAAAUUUGGGAUUUUUCCACCAAGUGGUUAUUUUCUGGCGAUAAAAUAAAGGAGUGAUGCGCGGUGCUGGAAAAUGACGUUUUUG
Molecule: long non-coding RNA, 4879 nt
Filed under: Malus domestica (apple)
Lineage: Eukaryota; Viridiplantae; Streptophyta; Magnoliopsida; Rosales; Rosaceae
Description: long non-coding RNA (MDOM_LNC007881)
Source: RNAcentral